GUCUUUGUAGUAUAAUUAAUACUUUGGUCUUGUAAACCAAAAAUGGAGAAUAGUUUCCUCCCUAAGACU
Molecule: transfer RNA, 69 nt
Filed under: Lycalopex sp. CAN005
Lineage: Eukaryota; Metazoa; Chordata; Mammalia; Carnivora; Canidae
Description: tRNA-Thr
Rfam family: tRNA
About the family: Transfer RNA (tRNA) molecules are approximately 80 nucleotides in length.
Source: RNAcentral